Molecule: ribosomal RNA, 301 nt
Filed under: uncultured bacterium
Lineage: Bacteria
Description: partial 16S ribosomal RNA
Rfam family: Bacterial small subunit ribosomal RNA
Source: RNAcentral
CAGUCGCCACGGUAAUACAGAGGAUGCAAGCGUUAUCCGGAAUGAUUGGGCGUAAAGCGUGCGCAGGCGGUUAUGUAAGACAGAUGUGAAAUCCCCGGGCUUAACCUGGGAACUGCAUUUGUGACUGGCGAGCUAGAGUAUGGCAGAGGGGGGUAGAAUUCCACGUGUAGCAGUGAAAUGCGUAGAGAUGUGGAGGAAUACCGAUGGCGUAGGCAGCCCCCUGGGCCAAUACUGACGCUCAUGCACGAAAGCGUGGGGAGCAAACAGGAUUAGAUACCCGCGUAGUCCCUGUCUCUUAUAU